UCCCGCUGCGACCUCUCCCUUCCCUCGUCUCCCGCUCCACCGCCGCCGCCCCAUCUCCCGCUCCACCGCCGCCGCCCCAUCUCCCGUCUCCAGUCGCAGCCGCCGCCGCACCCCAAUCCAACCCCGCCGCCGGCGAUCUCCUCGCCCCCCUUUGCCGCCGCCCCCAACCUUCUAUUCCUCUCCCAAAGGAAUCCCAAGGGAAGGGAAGGGAAGGGAAGGAAGAGGGAGCGCCCAGAUCCACGGCGGCAUCAGCGCGCCGUCGUCGACCUGAUCCACGUCCGUCCUCGAGGGAGGUCGGCCAUGGAGGUCCGACCUGGCCCGGCAACAGCCAUGGACGGACGGAGACGCCCCAAACCCUACCCUCAAGGACGACGCCUCAACCUUCAAGGACGCGCGCCGGCGACCGCGGAUCUCCGGUGACGGCUAUGGAUGACUGCCCCGGAUCUGGACGCACGACCUGCAGCUGCAGCAGCAGCUGGACGACCGAACGCACGAGCCCUCCCUCCCUCCCUCAUGGCUAUGCUUCCUCUACCCUGCCCCCUCACGUGGGCGUGGUCCCACAAAUAGAAGCGUUGCUCAUAUGCUCCUGAAUCAGGUGAGCAGUAUGAUGGAGUUUACAGAAUUGAGAACUGUUAGAUAAAGAUUGGUGUUCAGGUAAUUUUACUUCCUGUACAGAGGUUCCACAUGCUGCUCGCUACUUUGUGCCACUGAAUGAAAGAUCAAUGUAUAUUCUUUUGAGUUCUGUCACAGGGUACGUAUAAGGUCUUGAUGUUAAACUGAUGUAUUUUUUAUUGCUUACUAAACCCUCCUAAGUCCUAACUCAAUCACUUGAAGUUAAACUAAAGUAUUAAUCAAUCUUGUUUGCUUUCUUGUACGUGUAUGCCUACUUACCUUGCCCUAUAUGGCGAUCAAUGGCCAGCCAUAGAACGGUUCUGAUUUUUUUAUUUUGUCAAGUUCAGUUCAUAUUUUUUAUCCAUGUGGUGUUUAAACGAUGACUAUGUAGAGUUCAUAGAAAUUGUGAGGCAUAGAAUUGAUUCAAUCUUCAUUUUUUUCCAAUUUGGUUCGGAGCCAUUACCUGCUACACCUACAGAUGUGAAAAGCUUACACUUUGCAAAUCCAAAAUUAAGCAGCAUAAUUUCUCACAGAUUAUAUAUAAAUUGAGUGACAACUGCUGGGACAUGUGCUUCUUUUGACCUAUUAUCUUGCUUUUGCAUGAUUAAUUGAAGGUCCAUAAGGCAGUUCUAUCUCUCUCGCUUACACAAUAAGUUUCUCUUUAACAAAAAAAAUAAACAUAGGGCAGGAGCAUAGAUGGUGCACAGGAGAGCUGCCUUGUCAUUGAUAGAGGAAGUUUGAGAGCAUGCUAAUUGAGCAGGGAAGAGAAAUAAAAUGAAAACGAAAAUGAGAAACAAAAGAGAAGAAUGUUAUGAUCUCAUGAUAAUGUCGGCCACCAGCCAGCGCCCACAGGAGUAUACCUAUAGGCGGUCCAAAGGUUAUCUAGGUUGGUAAAAAGCAAGGCCGCCUCAUAGUUGAGGAAGAUGAUGUGCAACCGAUGAAGAAGAUAUAUUAGGAUGGAACUUGAGGCAUUUUGUGGAUUAGUAUCUAUAGUUUUUUUAUGCCUAUAAAGCAGAGGUCUGUGUGACAAAACAGAAGUAUCCAUGAAUUACUACUUUAUAAGAUUUAGGUUCCACUAUAAUGUUGUUGAUGAUAGCCAAGCCGCCGCCUCUCCGCCGAGAAAGAAGGAUCCCGAUCUCCGUCGUGGUCGACAAACAGCGCGACGGGCGGAGCACCCAGCCCAUAGGCUCAUCCCCUUCUCCGAUCCACUCCGGCGGCGGCCAUCGUUGGUACGUUGCGCUUGUGUCACCUCUCAUGAUUUUUUUUUCUGGUUUGAUUCCCCACUCACGGGUGUGUGGUAUGCAGUCAAGGCAUCGGUUCAUGUGGUUUCCUGCUGCUGGCAUAUGUAGGUUUACCGCUGGAUUCAAGUCUAGAAAUGUUUUAUUUUCUUAAAAUUGAUUUAUCAUAUGCUUCCAUGAUUUCAUCGGGAAAGAGAUGCAGACGAGAGGAAGAGAGCCUCCCCCAAGCUCUGUCUAGGCGAUGCACAAGCGACGGCCACCCUUCCUGUUAUUACCUCCAUGGCUGGCUGCUCAUCCCCAGGAACCUCCUCCCCUCUCACGUGCGCCACACUCUGGGAUUAAGUUGGAACACAGGUAUCUAGGGCAGGGCGCGGUCACAUUGCAGGCAGCAAGGAGCAGCACAAAGUUGUCUCGGUUGUGCCCUGCAUCGAGGAGGAACACAGGUAUUUACAAACCGAGGAGGAAAACAUGUAGUUUUCUGUUUGUUAUUUUGUAACUUUAUGCUUCACCUAUCCUGAAUUAUACGUAUACUCAUGUUGCCAGAUACAUAGGUAUACAGAUACAUAGCUAUGGAAGAUAUGAUUUACUGAUACAUAUCUAAAUGUUAUAGCUAUAAAGAUACCUGAUUGUUAUAGCUGAAUGUAACAAAGAAAGUGGUAUGGAUGAAUGGUGUCGUUUCUUUACCCAUGCUGUGGUUGAAAUCAUUGUUUGGUUCCCAGGUUGAACAAAUCCGGCAUCUGUAAAUCAUCGAUGUUUUUCUGGAAGUAGUACAGUAGGUUUAAGAUUGGGCAAUGAUUCGUUCAUUCAACUACUUAUAAUUUGGGUUUCUAUAGUUUCAAGAGGCUAACAAUUCCACCUUGGGUGUCUUAUCUCUAAGAUUCUAACUAUCAAAUAACAUUGCUUUGAAGUGUAGAUGUUCCGGGAUUGCUAGCUCCUGCCAGGUGAUCAGAAUUACUGCUUUGUUUAUUACUCAACAAUGUCGGACACUGGUUUCUCUAAAUAUCUUUUACAAGUACAGUUUCUACUUUUUUCUGCAGAAAUACUACAUGGUAGUCUUGAAGUAAAUACCAAUCAUGUGAUCCGAUAUGUUGUUUCAGAACAAUAGACCAUCAAUAUUAUUUUCGCCUCGGGUUCUAGAGGAGGACAGCUAAUUAAGAGAAAACUUCGGUGGGAUAGAGACAAAAAUUUGCUAUAUUUCACAAUACCCAAACAGAAUUUCAUUGUUGAUUCUUCUGCCCUGAACUUUGCCCAUACCAAUUACAUUUUGUAGACCCUUUUUAAGGAAACUGCUUCGUUUACACCAUCCCAUUGACAUGUCUAUUAGCAGUAAUGAGACUUAAACGAACACUUCUAGGCUAGAUAUUAUUAAGGUGUUGUGUAUGUUGGUCCUUUUUAUAGAUCUUGCCAUCUUUGUUUGCAAGGUGACCAGUCAUUUAAAGUAUUUGAGAAUCCUGAAGGGAAGCACAUGGCAAAGCCAUAAUUACCUUUUAGUUAUAUUUCAAGUUGUAGGAAAGUUGGAAUCAAUUUGGAAAGCAUCUUUCUAUUGCAGAUAUUUUAUUAGUGGCUUGAAGACUUACACUCCGUUUGAUGUUAUAGAAAUAGUGAGGUUAUGCCACAAUGCUGAUAGACUUGGUACUUGUAGGAUGGAGAGGAGAAGACUGAAAAGGAUGUUGAUAUGAGGAAUUCAAGGAAGUGGAAGAGGAAGAAAGUUUUGAUGAUGGUGAUAAUUAGAAUAUCAAGUUUGACGACGAUGAUGAUUGGAACCAAGAGGAGGAAGUACGUUAGUUUCCAUCUAUUCAUAUGGAUGUUACCCUCGAUGUACUGUGACCAAAUAUCUGCCGCUAAAACCCACCAAAGAAUUAGCAAGAAAAUUGAUUGUGGGAGCUAGCAAUGCCGGCAGUGCCUCCUUUAGGAUUACAAAAUCGUUAAUUCUAUCUUCGCUUGCAUGUGACUGAUGGUGAUGCUACACAAAUUCUGAAGGCAGUGCCCUCCCCUUCAGUAGGAGAUCUUGCUGGUUCUGCAUGGCACAAUUGGAUUAAAUAUGCUACAGCAAGCGAAGGAGUUAAACGAUGUUGUUGGAAACAAAGGAUUCAUCCUAAUGAAAUUAGACGGGACUGCUCGUGUUGGCUAUGUGGUGAGUGUUCAUAGACGAACAUGGAGUUCCAGCCAAGUUUGUUGGCGUCGGUGAAGGGGUGGAAGAUCUCCAACCUUUUGAUGCAGAAGCAUUUGUUGAAGCCAUUUUCCCAUAAAUUUUACCCAGUUAUUAGUGUUUCUCAUGUAACAAGAUUUUGGCUAACAUGCUACUCCCUCCGUUUCUAGAUAUAUGUCUUUUAGGAAUUCUAAUAUGGACUACUCCCUCCGUUCCUAAAUAUUUGUCUUUCUCGACAUUUCAACAAGUGACUACAUACGGAGUAAAAUGAGUGAAUAUACACUCUAAAAUAUGUCUACAUACAUCCGUAUGUGGUAGUCAUUUGAAAUGUCUAGAAAGAAAAAUAUUUAGAAACGGAGGGAGUACAUAUGAAGAAAAAUGAGUGAAUCUAUGUCUACAUUCAUCCGUAUGUAGUCCAUAUUCAAAUCACUAAAAAGACCUAUAUUUAGGAAUGGAGGGAGUAGAACUUGGUAGAAGCAAUUUUUUCAACAAUUACAGAUUUUUUGGUUCAGUCGUCGACUCGUUUGCCUGACUUGUUUCUGUUGUUGACUGAUACACGUUCAUUUUGCAUUAUGCUUUUAUAUCGAUAUUUAUCACAUUAUGGGCUAUUAUUUCACGUUAUGUCACAAUACUUAUGGCUAUUCUCUCUUAUUUUACAAGGUUUACAUGAAGAAGGAGAAUG
Molecule: long non-coding RNA, 4681 nt
Organism: Triticum aestivum (bread wheat)
Lineage: Eukaryota; Viridiplantae; Streptophyta; Magnoliopsida; Poales; Poaceae
Exons: 10
Source: RefSeq, a predicted model, not a curated record